AGAUGAAAUUGCAAGGUUUGGGGGACUCAUUGCAUUCAUUCAGAUCUAAAAUAAGAAAAAUCAGAUAACAAUCAGAGAUCAACAAGCUCACAACAGUGAGCCCGAUUCUCUGCUCACCAUGAGCAAUUCAUCAACAGCAGUGCAAGCUAGUUGUACAGACAGCCACAUCCAGAUUUUCUACUUACUGCCCAGAUGUGUGAACACCUGUACAGCAAAACGAUGUAUGAGUAGCACGGAUGAUCCAGUAUGCAGGAAAAGGCAUCAGACAUGCCAGCAUGUUGGCACAGCUACCUGAAGUCUCAAUAUCUCCAAAGACAAACAGCCACGCAAAUGAUUUCCAGAUCAAUGUUGCCAAAAUGCUGUAAGUUAAAACUGUAUCUUUUUCUCUUCUAGGCUCAAUUUUUAUUAUUUACUUAUUUUUAAAUUCUAGAUUCACUAAUUCAGCUUCUUCAUACACUGAAUUCCUUAAAACAUUGCUCUUACUAGAAAGUGCAUUUACAUACACUCUGGGCUACUUGAAUAAUUACUGUCACAUAAUGAUGUUUACACUCUACUAACUCCUCUGCAAUUUGAGCUUUUGACCAAAUUCCACAGGGAAGUAAACGAAGCUCUAACUGUAUAUAAAACUAAUGUGAGUUGAUGCAAAAAUAGAACCAUUCGUUUGUAUGGCUUUGCAAACUAGACUGUGGCAGAUAAUUGAAGAACAGCUGUGUCAGGUCAGAUAAGAGUGUCAGAAUGUCCUAGGACAUUCUCCUCUCUCUGGCUAUAACUUAAGGGGAAAAGUAUUUAAAAAAAUGCACCAUGUAUGCAGAGAUCUUUCCCCUGAUACAGCCUCUCAGUUUAAGGACUCCCAUAGCCAAAAGCCACAUCCAAACUAUCAAGCUUAAUUUCCACUGAUGGAUUCCCACACAAAUUUGUGCAAACUCCUUCUGGAUCAAUUUAUAUUUGUGGCCUCUCUAAUGUUCUGCAGCAAAGAGUUUCACUACUUAAGUAAGCACUAUACAUAUAAAAAUGUUUGCUUUGGUUUGUCUAACAUGUUCCCUCUAGUUCUGGUACCCUUACCACUUGUGGCUUUAUAAAUUUAAAUCAUAUAUCUCUUCAACCACAUUUACCACACUGAAAGAUUCUGAUUAAUUUUCUGUGUGCUCCUUCUACAACUCUGAUCUUCCUUAUUGCUCCCUUCUUUGUACGCUUUCACUUUCUAAUUUCUGAAAUAAGAGACCGAAGCAUGAAAAAUAUUCAGCAUAGGAGUACCACAGUAAUUUUAUAGUACUGAGCUAACGGUGUCUGUUUCUUCUGUUUCUUUCCUAACAAA
Long non-coding RNA from Meleagris gallopavo (turkey), 1315 nucleotides. RefSeq lists it as uncharacterized. The record is from RefSeq and is a predicted model, not a curated record. Lineage: Eukaryota; Metazoa; Chordata; Aves; Galliformes; Phasianidae.